This 119-nucleotide ribosomal RNA is filed under the name uncultured archaeon. RNAcentral's name for it is "partial 16S ribosomal RNA". The record is from RNAcentral.
ACUUUGGGAGCUUCAAGCGCCAACACUUUAGCAUGCGGGAAACCCCGAUAAAGGAACCCCCAGUGCCAGCAUCAAAUGUUACCUCCAGAUUAUCAAACAACAACUUUGCCACCCCCUUG